Molecule: non-coding RNA, 30 nt
Filed under: Mus musculus (house mouse)
Lineage: Eukaryota; Metazoa; Chordata; Mammalia; Rodentia; Muridae
Source: RNAcentral
UGCUAGUCAGCACUGGUUUUUAGGCACGCA